CGCAGCCGCGGUAAUUCCAGCUCCAAUAGCGUAUAUUAAAGUUGUUGCAGUUAAAAAGCUCGUAGUUGAAUUUCGGGGUCAGUAGGUCGGUCGUGCCACUGGUAUGAACUGGUUUUACUGAUUCCUCCCUCUUGAAGAACUGUAAUGCCAUUAAUUUGGUGUUGCAGGGAAUCAGGACUGUUACUUUGAAAAAUUAGAGUGUUUAAAGCAGGCUUUAGCUUGAAUACAUUAGCAUGGAAUAAUGAAAUAGGACGUUUGAUCCUAUUUUGUUGGUUUCUAGGAUUGACGUAAUGAUUAAUAGGGAUAGUUGGGGGCAUUAGUAUUCAAUUGUCAGAGGUGAAAUUCUUGGAUUUAUUGAAGACUAACUACUGCGAAAGCAUUUUGCCAAGGAUGUUUUUCAUUAAUCAAGAACGAAAGUUAGGGGAUCGAAGACGAUCAGAUACCGUCGUAGUCUUAACCAUAAACUAUGCCGAACUAGGGAUCGGAUGAUGUUAAUUUUUAAUGACUCAUUCGGCGCCUU
This 520-nucleotide ribosomal RNA is filed under the name uncultured Glomus. RNAcentral describes it as "SSU rRNA". It matches the Rfam family "Eukaryotic small subunit ribosomal RNA", at positions 569 to 1089 of the family's 1831-position model. The record is from RNAcentral. Lineage: Eukaryota; Fungi; Glomeromycota; Glomeromycetes; Glomerales; Glomeraceae.